RNAcentral lists this non-coding RNA (21 nucleotides) under Caenorhabditis elegans. Lineage: Eukaryota; Metazoa; Nematoda; Chromadorea; Rhabditida; Rhabditidae. The record is from RNAcentral.
UUGCAAAAAAAAAAAUUCCGA